Non-coding RNA from Acanthosepion pharaonis, 84 nucleotides. The record is from the annotation of a GenBank genome assembly. Lineage: Eukaryota; Metazoa; Mollusca; Cephalopoda; Sepiida; Sepiidae.
CCGUUCGAUCACCGAAGUUAAGCAUCGUAGAGCCAGGUCAGUACUUAGAUGGGGACCGCUUAGGGAACACCUGGUACUGUAAGC